CCUACGGGAGGCAGCAGUGGGGAAUAUUGGACAAUGGGCGCAAGCCUGAUCCAGCCAUGCCGCGUGUGUGAAGAAGGCCUUAGGGUUGUAAAGCACUUUCAGUGGGGAGAAAGGUUAUUCACCUAAUACGUGAGUAAAUUGAUGUUACCCACAGAAGAAGCACCGGCUAACUCCGUGCCAGCAGCCGCGGUAAUA
Molecule: ribosomal RNA, 195 nt
Filed under: uncultured bacterium
Lineage: Bacteria
Description: partial 16S ribosomal RNA
Rfam family: Bacterial small subunit ribosomal RNA
Source: RNAcentral